AACGAACGCUGGCGGCAUGCCUAACACAUGCAAGUCGAACGAGACCUUCGGGUCUAGUGGCGCACGGGUGCGUAACGCGUGGGAACCUGCCCUUAGGUUCGGAAUAACUCCCCGAAAGGGGUGCUAAUACCGGAUAAUGUCUUCGGACCAAAGAUUUAUCGCCUUUGGAUGGGCCCGCGUUGGAUUAGCUAGUUGGUAGGGUAAAAGCCUACCAAGGCGACGAUCCAUAGCUGGUCUGAGAGGAUGAUCAGCCACACUGGGACUGAGACACGGCCCAGACUCCUACGGAAGGCAGCAGGGGGGAAUAUGGGACAGUGGGCGAAAGCCUGAUCCAGCAAUGCCGCGUGAGUGAUGAAGGCCUUAGGGUUGUAAAGCUCUUUUACCCGGGAUGAUAAUGACAGUACCGGGAGAAUAAGCUCCGGCUAACUCCGU
RNAcentral lists this ribosomal RNA (432 nucleotides) under uncultured bacterium. RNAcentral's name for it is "partial 16S ribosomal RNA". It matches the Rfam family "Bacterial small subunit ribosomal RNA", at positions 29 to 506 of the family's 1533-position model. The record is from RNAcentral.